CACGCCGUAAACGAUGUCUACUUGGAGGUUGUGCCCUUGAGGCGUGGCUUCCGGAGCUAACGCGUUAAGUAGACCGCCUGGGGAGUACGGCCGCAAGGUUAAAACUCAAAUGAAUUGACGGGGGCCCGCACAAGCGGUGGAGCAUGUGGUUUAAUUCGAUGCAACGCGAAGAACCUUACCUGGUCUUGACAUCCACAGAAGAAUCCAGAGAUGGAUUUGUGCCUUCGGGAACUGUGAGACAGGUGCUGCAUGGCUGUCGUCAGCUCGUGUUGUGAAAUGUUGGGUUAAGUCCCGCAACGAGCGCAACCCUUAUCCUUUGUUGCCAGCGAUUAGGUCGGGAACUCAAAGGAGACUGCCAGUGAUAAACUG
Molecule: ribosomal RNA, 369 nt
Filed under: uncultured bacterium
Lineage: Bacteria
Description: bacterial SSU rRNA
Rfam family: Bacterial small subunit ribosomal RNA
Source: RNAcentral